AUACGGUGAUGAGUUUAAACAG
This 22-nucleotide microRNA is filed under the name Apis mellifera (honey bee). RNAcentral describes it as "ame-miR-3720-5p". Lineage: Eukaryota; Metazoa; Arthropoda; Insecta; Hymenoptera; Apidae. The record is from miRBase by way of RNAcentral.